This 615-nucleotide ribosomal RNA is filed under the name Molopidius spinicollis. Its description in RNAcentral is "SSU rRNA". It matches the Rfam family "Eukaryotic small subunit ribosomal RNA", at positions 22 to 602 of the family's 1831-position model. Lineage: Eukaryota; Metazoa; Arthropoda; Insecta; Coleoptera; Carabidae. The record is from RNAcentral.
AGUCAUAUGCUUGUCUCAAAGAUUAAGCCAUGCAUGUCUAAGUACAAACUAUAUUAAAGUGAAACCGCGAAAGGCUCAUUAAAUCAGUUAUGGUUCCUUAGAUCGUACCCACAAUUACUUGGAUAACUGUGGUAAUUCUAGAGCUAAUACAUGCAAACAGAGCUCUGACCGGAGACGGAAGGAGUGCUUUUAUUAGAUCAAAACCAAUCGGCGUCGAUAAUAUUUCGGUAUUAUCGUUCGUCGCUCAAUUAUAUGGUGAAUCUGAAUAACUUUAUGCUGAUCGCAUGGUCUUGUACCGGCGACGCAUCUUUCAAAUGUCUGCCUUAUCAACUGUCGAUGGUAGGAUCUGCGCCUACCAUGGUUGUAACGGGUAACGGGGAAUCAGGGUUCGAUUCCGGAGAGGGAGCCUGAGAAACGGCUACCACAUCCAAGGAAGGCAGCAGGCGCGCAAAUUACCCACUCCCGGCACGGGGAGGUAGUGACGAAAAAUAACGAUACGGGACUCAUCCGAGGCCCCGUAAUCGGAAUGAGUACACUUUAAAUCCUUUAACAAGGACCAAUUGGAGGGCAAGUCUGGUGCCAGCAGCCGCGGUAAUUCCAGCUCCAAUAGCGUAU